UUUUGUUCCAAACUUCAUACAUAAAUCCAGCCUAAACCUCUCCUUCUCUAUCCUUUAUCCCCCAUUUCGUAUAAUAAAAUCAAAAGCGACACCACACCACUAUGAUCAACCUUUCUUCCCUACAUGCGUUACAGAUCCUCGGCGAUCAAGAAUGGAGAUAACUUGGGUUCGGUGCUCUAGAAGGCAUAAGUGGCCUAGACUACUUUCAUAAAUGUCGAAUAUUGGAGAAUAUAUCUAAGAGACGUUAGAGGAGGUUUUAAUCGAUUUGAAUACACAAGAAUUGAAUUCCUCUACAUAAAACGAGAGACUUCUAUGGCGUGCUCGAAUAACGUUUACGGAUAACAAAAGGAGACGUGAAAUUCUGAGAACAACUAAGGAAAGCUCCAGACAUUGCCUUGUCAAUGCACAAAAAUAUGUAAGUAGCGUUUCUAUAGGAUCUUACUAAGACACAUGGGCUUAAACGACUGCAAAAGCAACAUUUUCUUGAAAUACGUGAGAUUAAUCCGGAACCAUUAGACGCCCAGAAACAAAAAUAUGUCAUUAAAAGUUUAACCUAUUAUGAGACCAAAGCAAACUUCGGAAAGCUUUAGAACUCAAAUGAAAGACCGAAAUACCCGAUAAUUGCAGUGUGUGACAUGUAUGAUUUCCAAUGGUCUUCUGCACGUAUAGAAACUCCAAAGUACUCAUUUGAGCGAAAAGAUCCCAUGAGGGAAUGUGAUAGUCUCGGUCAUCAUUGUGUCGUUAUAACUAACUGGUAUAUAUAUGUGUGUGCCAUCUUCUGAGGCUAAAAAACUGGGGUUCAAAUUAAAAACUCCUAUGACAAAGUCUGUGGAAAUCAAGGAAAAGGCCGAGUAACCGAAGAUUAUUUUAAAGUCAUCAGGGUACUAAAGAUGGCAAACUAAAAGCCAUCUUGAUAUUGAAGAACCCUAAGCAGUAUAUGAAGUUGUUGGCUACACGGUCUAUGUUUCAUGUUCAGUAAGAAACUAUUGUGAAUUUUGAUGAUUGUUAAAAAUUGGGGUGACGAAGUGUGAGGAAAUCAAUGAAAAAGCUGAGUAACCGAAGAUUAUUUUAGUAACAAAGAUGGCAAACUAAAAGCUAUCAUAAUAUUGAAGAAUCCUAAGCAGUGUGUGAAGUUGUUGGCUACACGGUCUAUGUUUCAUGUUUAGUAAGAAACUAUUGUGAAUUUUGAUGAUUGUUAA
Molecule: long non-coding RNA, 1199 nt
Organism: Helianthus annuus (common sunflower)
Lineage: Eukaryota; Viridiplantae; Streptophyta; Magnoliopsida; Asterales; Asteraceae
Exons: 3
Source: RefSeq, a predicted model, not a curated record